CCAUUAAGCUAUUAUUACUUGAAUUAUUAUUAUUUUAUUGUAAUUACGAGAAGUUGAACAUGGGAUUCCUAAAUUAUAGUAUGUUUUCUACGUUUCUGCAACUUAAUUUUUAAAUGAUAAAGUUUUCUUAAAUCAAAUGUUUUAAACAAGGCUUUCGCAACUGAAAGGUGUGUUUAUUCUUAAGUUAAUUAAGGUUUCUCUUGUUUAAGAAGGGUUUUCAAUGAAAACACGGUUUUUUCUAAAACACUUCAAUGUAACACGUC
RNAcentral lists this long non-coding RNA (263 nucleotides) under Gossypium barbadense (sea-island cotton). Its description in RNAcentral is "long non-coding RNA (GBAR_LNC023386)". The record is from RNAcentral. Lineage: Eukaryota; Viridiplantae; Streptophyta; Magnoliopsida; Malvales; Malvaceae.